AGGGAAUCUUCCACAAUGGGCGAAAGCCUGAUGGAGCAACGCCGCGUGGGUGAAGAAGGUCUUCGGAACGUAAAACCCUGUUGUUAGAGAAGAAAGUGCGUGAGAGUACCUGUUCACGUNUCUACGGUAGCUAACCAGCAAGCCACGGCUACCUACGUGCCGGCAGCCGCGGUAAUACGUAGGUGGCAAGCGUUAUCCGGAUUUAUUGGGCGUAAAGGGAACGCAGGCGGUCUUUUAAGUCUGAUGUGAAAGCCUUCGGCUUAACCGGAGUAGUGCAUUGGAAACUGGGAGACUUGAGUGCAGAAGAGGAGAGUGGAACUCCAUGUGUAGCGGUGAAAUGCGUAGAUAUAUGGAAGAACACCAGUGGCGAAAGCGGCUCUCUGGUCUGUAACUGACGCUGAGGUUCGAAAGCGUGGGUAGCAAACAGG
This 428-nucleotide ribosomal RNA is filed under the name uncultured bacterium. RNAcentral's name for it is "bacterial SSU rRNA". It matches the Rfam family "Bacterial small subunit ribosomal RNA", at positions 356 to 776 of the family's 1533-position model. The record is from RNAcentral.